CCUACGGGCGGCAGCAGUGGGGAAUAUUGGACAAUGGGGGCAACCCUGAUCCAGCCAUGCCGCGUGUGUGAAGAAGGCCCUCGGGUUGUAAAGCACUUUCAGUGAGGAAGAACGCCUGGUGGUUAAUACCCAUCAGGAAAGACAUCACUCACAGAAGAAGCACCGGCUAACUCCGUGCCAGCAGCCGCGGUAAUACGGAGGGUGCGAGCGUUAAUCGGAAUUACUGGGCGUAAAGCGCGCGUAGGUGGCUUGAUAAGCCGGUUGUGAAAGCCCCGGGCUCAACCUGGGAACGGCAUCCGGAACUGUCAAGCUAGAGUGCAGGAGAGGAAGGUAGAAUUCCCGGUGUAGCGGUGAAAUGCGUAGAGAUCGGGAGGAAUACCAGUGGUGAAGGCGGCCUUCUGGACUGACACUGACACUGAGGUGCGAAAGCGUGGGUAGCAAACAGGAUUAGAUACCCCAGUAGUC
Molecule: ribosomal RNA, 465 nt
Filed under: Vreelandella stevensii
Lineage: Bacteria; Pseudomonadati; Pseudomonadota; Gammaproteobacteria; Oceanospirillales; Halomonadaceae
Description: partial 16S ribosomal RNA
Rfam family: Bacterial small subunit ribosomal RNA
Source: RNAcentral